Long non-coding RNA from Candoia aspera, 590 nucleotides. RefSeq lists it as uncharacterized. The record is from RefSeq and is a predicted model, not a curated record. The transcript is spliced from 3 exons. NCBI's taxonomy places the organism in Eukaryota, Metazoa, Chordata, Lepidosauria, Squamata, Candoiidae.
UUUUGCAGCAGGAAAUCAGUCAUAGAAAGUCCUUGGUGCAAAGGUACUGGGGACCACAAAGAGGAGAAGGGAGGAGAAGGAGGCACACAGAGAAGGAGGAAUUGGGAGGACUGGGGAACCUCAUCUCCCAUCCUAAGAAACAUGGCCUGAGUUAUCUCCAGUGCCUGCAGGUAUGUGGGAGAAAAACUUAGAACCUGCUUCUGCUUCUGCUGUAAAAAGGAUGAGGAGGAACCAGAAUCUUUUACUCAACCUAGAGGUCCCCCCGUGGGUGGAUGACGAAGACCACCUCGGAUGGUAGAGUUGCCCCCAAAAUGCAACAGUUCCAUUGAGGGCCAACCCAUGGGGGCAUGAGGCCGAUAAAGGACCGCACAGUUCCUCUGGAACAGUGUCUGGUCCUCUUCCUGCUUCAUAAGAUGCAAGAUUCUUUCAUCCUUCUACCUGGUCAUCACAGACAACACAUGAAAACAGGUUUAUAAACUCCCCUUGGGGCGGAGGUGAACAUGUUUGAUUAUCCUGUGCCUGUGGUGCUAGCAGAGAUAACCUUUGAAAUUACCAAAUGCUGAAAUUAAAUAAAAAGAAAAUAUAUUAAU